Ictidomys tridecemlineatus (thirteen-lined ground squirrel) is the source of this 437-nucleotide unclassified non-coding RNA. Its record names the gene Telomerase-vert. It matches the Rfam family "Vertebrate telomerase RNA". From Rfam's summary of the family: Telomerase is a ribonucleoprotein reverse transcriptase that synthesises telomeric DNA. Telomerase RNAs differ greatly in sequence and structure between vertebrates, ciliates and yeasts, but they share a 5' pseudoknot structure close to the template sequence. Lineage: Eukaryota; Metazoa; Chordata; Mammalia; Rodentia; Sciuridae. The record is from Ensembl.
UGGGCCCGGGAGGGGUGGCGGUCACCCUUUUUCUAACCCUAACUAAGAAUGGCGUAGGCGCCGUGCUUUUGGUCCCCGCGCGCUGUUUUUCUGGCUGACUUUCAGCGGGCGGAAAAGCCUUGGCCUGCCGCCAACCACCGUUUAGUCUGGAGCAAACAAAAAAUGUCAGCUACUGACCCGUCACCCCUCCCGGGGACCUGCGGGGGCUCGCCCGCCCUGUUCCCGCGCCCCGCCUAAAGGCCGCGGUAGGCCCGGGGCUUCUCCGGAGGCACCCAUUGCCGCCGUGAAGAGUUCGUCUCUGUCAGCCGCGGGUGUCUCGGUUGCGAAGGGCGAGGCUUAGGCCGUCUGGUCGCAGGAAGAGGAACGGAACUGGUCCCCGUGCGCAGUGAGCUUCCUUGAGCUGUGGGAAGUGGACCCGGGACUCGGUUCAUACAUGC